Molecule: long non-coding RNA, 1117 nt
Organism: Neofelis nebulosa (Clouded leopard)
Lineage: Eukaryota; Metazoa; Chordata; Mammalia; Carnivora; Felidae
Exons: 3
Source: RefSeq, a predicted model, not a curated record
AAGCAAUUAACAUAUUAAUUAAAUUUUACCUCUGCUUGUGUUCGGUGGACCAAAAGAAGUAGAUGCCAGGGAGAAUGAUCAGCAGGAGCAGACGGACUAGGGGAGAAGCAUAGACUGAAGAAUGUGGACUGAUUGAUGAAGCAGAGCAUCCAUUGUGCAUAUGUACUGACCCACUGGAUUAGAGAGGGGGCAGAGUGAUGAGGGCUGCAGUAACAGUAAUGCCCACCAACAGCUGGAUAUUGCUCUCGAGUAACACACAAACACCCAUUCACGCCUAGUCUUUGUUUUGAUCUUUAUGUCAAGACACCUUCAGUCCAAUAUCUCAACCUCUUACACAGCGUAAGACAUGACAUAAUGCAUUUCGUAUUCCAAAUCUACCAUUAAUUAUUGCUGAGGCUUUAGGCAUGACACUGAAAGCAUCUUUGCCUGGUGCAAGUCUUUCUUCUAUGAUACAAAAUAUUCAUGUUUCUCUCAAACCAGAAAAAUGAAUGCCCGUUCCCUUUGUAGAAUAAAUUAUGAAAUUCACUUUAUCAUUCAUUCUUUCCAGUGGAGCUCUUGUUAUCUGAUGCAACCAAGAAUCAAUAAUAAAGAAAUGGUGGGUAUUUGUUAUAAUGUCCUGAGGCUCAGCAUUAGUGACAAGGAUAUUUCUAACUACCAACUAAUAAAUGGAUCUUGAUUUAAUGAAAUUUGUGUAUUAAGAGGUCCUGUUCUGUCAACCAAAGGGGAUUCGAUUCGAUCUGUCCUGUUCAUGUCAUGAAAUGCUUCAUUUCACCUUUCCUCAAAGCAAUUGAUGCCAGCUAGCCCUAGACCUCCACAAUUAAGGGGACCAGCAGGAAGCAUUCUAUUAGUGAUCGUUGGAAGGAAUAAGGAUCAGCCCCAAAGUGAGUUAAUUGAUCUUCUAGUAAGACACAGGCUUCAAAAUUGGCUGGUAGUAGCAACACCCAGGCCACCAACACCACUGAGCCACCCCAGAUGGUUGGUUCAGUGGUUGGGAACCAACCAUAAGCUGAACUUGUGAGACACUUCAUCAAGAUUUCUGCACUUGAGCCAAAGAAGCUGGAGUAUUAACUCCUUGGAUGUUUCAGUCACAAUAUGUGCAAUAAAGAAACCACCCACA